GACCUCGUGGUGCAAGGGCAGCACAUCUGACUCCAGAUCAGAAGGUUGUGUGUUCAAAUCACACUGGGGUCA
Rhea pennata is the source of this 72-nucleotide non-coding RNA. NCBI's taxonomy places the organism in Eukaryota, Metazoa, Chordata, Aves, Rheiformes, Rheidae. The record is from the annotation of a RefSeq genome assembly.